UUGAAAGGGAAACGAUUGAAGUCAGUCGUGCUGGCGCGAAAUCAACCUUCUCGUCUUGAGAUCACAUGGCGUGGCGAGCCUCAAAACCGUCACGAAGCGUGAACUCUUGGUGAAAUGGAGCACUUUCGUGUCCGCUGGUUAACAUCAAUUUCGAACGUCAUAAAAAGGCUGGAGGGAUGUGGCUCCUUCGGGAGUGUUAUAACCUUUAGCGGAAUGUGGUGUUCGGGAUUGAGGAUUGCAACGAAUACCUUUAGGGCUGUUCCACCUGGCUUCUCUUUGGUAUCCUGGUGACGACAGCUUGCUGACGUCGUUAGGAUUCGCCUUUGAACAGGUUAGAACGUGAUUACAUUCGUUAAGGAUGUUGACGUA
Molecule: ribosomal RNA, 369 nt
Filed under: uncultured Glomeromycotina
Lineage: Eukaryota; Fungi; Glomeromycota
Description: LSU rRNA
Source: RNAcentral